GAACGCUCCGCAAGGGGAGUGGCAGACGGGUGAGUAACGCGUGGGAACGUACCCCUCGGUUCGGAAUAACUCAGGGAAACUUGAGCUAAUACCGGAUACGGCCGGGAGGCGAAAGAUUUAUCGCCGAGGGAUCGGCCCGCGUCCGAUUAGCUAGUUGGUGAGGUAACGGCUCACCAAGGCGACGAUCGGUAGCUGGUCUGAGAGGAUGAUCAGCCACAUUGGGACUGAGACACGGCCCAAACUCCUACGGGAGGCAGCAGUGGGGAAUAUUGGACAAUGGGCGAAAGCCUGAUCCAGCCAUGCCGCGUGAGUGAUGAAGGCCUUANGGUUGUAAAGCUCUUUCGUCAGGGACGAUAAUGACGGUACCUGAAGAAGAAGCCCCGGCUAACUUCGUG
Molecule: ribosomal RNA, 395 nt
Filed under: uncultured bacterium
Lineage: Bacteria
Description: bacterial SSU rRNA
Rfam family: Bacterial small subunit ribosomal RNA
Source: RNAcentral